UUUUCCUACGGGAGGCAGCAGUGGGGGAUAUUGCACAAUGGGGGGAACCCUGAUGCAGCGACGCCGCGUGGGUGAAGGAGCGUUUCGGCGCGUAAAGCCCUAUCGGCAGGGAAGAAGGAGGACGGUACCUGACUAAGAAGCCACGGCUAACUACGUGCCAGCAGCCGCGGUAAUACGUAGGUGGCAAGCGUUAUCCGGAUUUAUUGGGUGUAAAGGGCGUGUAGGCGGGGACGCAAGUCAGCUGUGAAAACUCAGGG
RNAcentral lists this ribosomal RNA (257 nucleotides) under uncultured bacterium. Its description in RNAcentral is "partial 16S ribosomal RNA". It matches the Rfam family "Bacterial small subunit ribosomal RNA", at positions 334 to 607 of the family's 1533-position model. The record is from RNAcentral.